This 488-nucleotide ribosomal RNA is filed under the name Pseudomonas aeruginosa. RNAcentral's name for it is "bacterial SSU rRNA". It matches the Rfam family "Bacterial small subunit ribosomal RNA", at positions 1045 to 1533 of the family's 1533-position model. Lineage: Bacteria; Pseudomonadati; Pseudomonadota; Gammaproteobacteria; Pseudomonadales; Pseudomonadaceae. The record is from RNAcentral.
AUGGCUGUCGUCAGCUCGUGUUGUGAAAUGUUGGGUUAAGUCCCGCAACGAGCGCAACCCUUAUCCUUUGUUGCCAGCGGUCCGGCCGGGAACUCAAAGGAGACUGCCAGUGAUAAACUGGAGGAAGGUGGGGAUGACGUCAAGUCAUCAUGGCCCUUACGACCAGGGCUACACACGUGCUACAAUGGCAUAUACAAAGAGAAGCGACCUCGCGAGAGCAAGCGGACCUCAUAAAGUAUGUCGUAGUCCGGAUUGGAGUCUGCAACUCGACUCCAUGAAGUCGGAAUCGCUAGUAAUCGUAGAUCAGAAUGCUACGGUGAAUACGUUCCCGGGCCUUGUACACACCGCCCGUCACACCAUGGGAGUGGGUUGCAAAAGAAGUAGGUAGCUUAACCUUCGGGAGGGCGCUUACCACUUUGUGAUUCAUGACUGGGGUGAAGUCGUAACAAGGUAACCGUAGGGGAACCUGCGGUUGGAUCACCUCCUUA